UUAAGCAUAUCAAUAAGCGGAGGAAAAGAAACCAACAGGGAUUACCUCAGUAACGGCGAGUGAAGCGGUAAUAGCUCAAAUUUGAAAUCUGGCUUCGGUCCGAGUUGUAAUUUGUAGAAGAUGCUUCGGGUGUGGCUCCGGUCUAAGUUCCUUGGAACAGGACGUCAUAGAGGGUGAGAAUCCCGUAUGUGACUGGGUGCCUUCGCCUAUGUGAAGCUCUUUCGACGAGUCGAGUUGUUUGGGAAUGCAGCUCAAAAUGGGUGGUAUAUUUCAUCUAAAGCUAAAUAUUGGCCAGAGACCGAUAGCGCACAAGUAGAGUGAUCGAAAGAUGAAAAGCACUUUGGAAAGAGAGUUAAACAGUACGUGAAAUUGUUGAAAGGGAAGCGUUUGCAACCAGACUUGCACGUUGCCGAUCAUCCGGUGUUCUCACCGGUGCACUCGGUUUCGUUCAGGCCAGCAUCGGUUUAGGUGGUUGGAUAAAGGCCUUGGGAAUGUAGCUUCUUUCGGGGAGUGUUAUAGCCCUCGGUGCAAUGCAGCCUACCUGGACCGAGGACCGCGCUUCGGCUAGGAUGCUGGCGUAAUGGUUGUAAACGACCCGUCUUGAAACACGGACCAAGGAGUCUAACAUCUAUGCGAGUAUUUGGGUGUUAAACCCAUAUGCGUAAUUAACGUGAACGGAGGUAAGAGCCCUUAAGGGUGCAUUAUCGACCGGUCCUGAUGUCUUCGGAAGGAUCUGAGUAAGAGCAUAGCUGUUGGGACCCGAAAGAUGGUGAACUAUGCCUGAAUAGGGUGAAGCCAGAGGAAACUCUGGUGGAGGCUCGCAGCGGUUCUGACGUGCAAAUCGAUCGUCAAAUUUGGGUAUAGGGGCGAAAGACUAAUCGAACCAUCUAGUAGCUGGUUCCUGCCGAU
Molecule: ribosomal RNA, 909 nt
Filed under: Nagrajchalara ellipsoidea
Lineage: Eukaryota; Fungi; Ascomycota; Leotiomycetes; Helotiales
Description: partial large subunit ribosomal RNA
Rfam family: Eukaryotic large subunit ribosomal RNA
Source: RNAcentral